CUGCUGUGACCGCAAAACUGUUUCUGUAGAAUUUUCUCCGGUGUGGUCAUCCUGCCUUCAGAGGUUUCUCCAGGACGUCACCUGUAUGAGGUACACAGUGUGAUGACACACUCUGUGCUUUUCCUACUUGUGUCCACGUGAGUGUCUGGAGCUGCCCUUCAAGGAGAGCAAUAGAUGAAUGAUUCUGCCUUCCCGCUGAGAGGGAUGUGGGUCCUGCGGAUGGUCGGGGUGAAGCUUCCUCUCCUUUCUGCUGACAGCACUUCCUCAUUAAAUGCAGAGAUCUGCAAAAAGGGAAAAUAAAAACACAAGAAGAAAAAUGAGGCAUCAAAGACCCUCCUCUUAUGCCCAUGGGGAUUUGGAGGACGGGUUAUUUCUUUGCUUUCCCAAAGGGCCCAAGAAGAGCUUCCGGGGAGAGGGAGAGCACCCUUUUUGAGGAUUCCCGACAAGCCUGUCUCCCGAGGGCUCCUGUAGGAGAGGCGGUAACUAGGGCGCAGAUCAUUUUCUGUGUUAAGGGCAUCCAAGGAGAGAAGAGAGUGACCGCCUAUGACUUGGGAGGCCCGUAAAGAUGGGGUCCUGGAUGAGCAGUAGCAAGGAGGGUACGGGGAUGGGUGUGCCUUGGGGGCUGGCAGUGAGGACGGCAUCGUCCCUAGAGAGUUUAAAGACAAGAAUCAAUCCAGCUCCAAGUGAGACUGCUUUUAAACCAUUUUAAUUGCCACACACCAGUAAGUUCAAGCAAUAUCAGUGAUAAAAUCUCCUUCCGUUGGGCAGCCAGUCCUUCUGCACCCUCCUGGUGUGUCCUGAGUAAGUGGGGUAGGGAGGAGCUAGUGUGGCCCGAAGACAAAGGAACCCGAGAUAUUUCUUUCCUCUUCCAAGCAAGAGAGGCUGGAGACAGCACAUGAGUGUUCAGGGAUCCUUGGGGGUCAAAAGAGUCACCUGAGAGAAAGGAAGAGAGGGGAACUGCCGCAGCUCAGUGAGGGGAACACCGCAGGCUCUGCCUCUCUUCCCCGGCUGUCUGGGAGGAGGGUCUGGAGUGGAGUCCAUGAGGGGCUGGGCGGGGCUGGGGCCCUACUUUGGAGGGAAUAUGGUAAGCAGACUGUACAGCCAAGCAGACAGUCCUGGAGGUUGAGGGCGUGACAAAGAACUGUAGCAUAUUCUGUGUGUAAAGACACCUUUGCCUUCUGUCCUGACCCGCAGACAGGUGCUUCUCCUGCCCUGCCGUGCUUCUGCCAUUUCUGGUGGAAAUAGCUCAAAAGACCCCUGCUUAUCCACAGAGCAGGGGCAUUUACCCAUUACAACCCCCUGGUGAAGUGACACGGUUAUGCCCAUUUCACAGACGAGGAAAUUGAGGCCCAGAAAGGGGCAGGAAACUUCCACAGCUGGGAAGCGGUGGAUCUGGGACUUGUUUGCCCCAGAGGCUGCCACCCUGGCACCUCACUGCCCUCAAAGGCUGACGGUGCCCCCAGCAGCUGUAACCAUUUCUUUCGAGUGCUUUUCAUUGUGUGGAAGAUCAUUUUGGGGGGUGCACAGAGCUCCCAGCUUAUUGUGAUUCAGCAAGACCCUGGCGUGUCACUUACGGGAGGUGGCCUUGCUGGGCAUAGUGCCGGCCAGCCAGAGACCCUCAGUGAACAGGGGGCGUUUCCAGAGGGCCUGGUGUUUUCUGCAUGGCAAGACUCCUACAGAGAGGCUGACCUGGUUUUCAGAGAGCAGUUUGCGUUUCGGGUGGCCCUGGGGGCACAUGUUCCCAUUGGAUUCCUGCACUGGAAGUAAGCUUGUGGGGCCGGGCUGCCAGCAGUGCCUGCCUUGUACCAGGGCUUUUUUGGUAUGGAAAACUUUAGAGAGGCGUCACCACCACCUCUUUUUUGCUCAGCAUUUGCUCAUCUCUCCCCACCUGCUUUUCAGGGCUCAAGCCUGGAAGAAGCCUUAGGACGUGGGGGAAAUGUCUAACGUGGAGUCCACCUGCUGAGCAGGACCGGGUGUGAAGGAAGAAGCUUUGUUCUGAUUCCUCAUGGCCCAGCCACCCCUCGCCUGAGCUGAGCCUGGCCACAGGGCCCGCCUGCAGGAAGGGCUGGCCCAUGGCUUCACACUGGGCUCAGGCUGCGCUAAGAGCCCCGGGUGAGGACCUCCAAGCCCAGGAAGCCUCAGUUGGCCAAAGUGCUAGAUGCGUGUGGUCUGCUUUCAUCCCCGCUUCCCUCAGAGCUUGCAUUUUCCAAAUUCAAGAGAGGCUCCACCUUCAAGAAGACCGGCCUGUCCCUGUUAUUUAUGUGUCCCCCUACCAUAUCUCCCUUUGUUCUGCAGAGCGGUACGCAUAAAAAGCUUUUGGGGA
This 2323-nucleotide long non-coding RNA is filed under the name Homo sapiens (human). RNAcentral describes it as "HSALNT0299202". Lineage: Eukaryota; Metazoa; Chordata; Mammalia; Primates; Hominidae. The record is from RNAcentral.